GCGGUUGCUUGGGCCAGAAGGUUCUCUGGUGGAGGCGCUCUUCCUGGUGUCCCGCCCAGUAGGUUCGUUCGCACCGUUUCUUCCACACCCUUUCUCCCUCCUUCUCCUCGCCCCGCCUUCCCCUCUUCUCAACCCCUCUAGUUCCUUCCCCGCCUCGCCACUGUCCACGAUCUCGCGAGACUUGGCCCAGAACAUUGCGGAUCGGGUCGGCGCCAUUUUGGGACUGAGACUGGUUGUGGGGGAGGGAAAAGCGGCAAAAGGGGAUUAUUCAAAGUACCGAAAACCUUCUCCCGGGAUCAGGCGCGUCGACACCCCCAGGCCAGGGGCACCUCUGGUGGGGCAGAAGGUGAAUGAAUUACUCAGAUACGAAGAUCAUCUUCUAGGUUUUGUGUAGAAGGCCCCGGAUAUUUUAAGUGGCCAUUUUGGAUUUACAAUGUUUUUGGAUAAUUUUGCCCCAGAAGUUUAUUAAAAUUGGCAAGAAUCGUCUAUGAAGUGAAUUGAUAGUAGUGAACAAUUCAGCAAGCUACUUAAAAAGAGACCCAGGCAGCAUUUCUUCAGUAUUUUGGUUCAAACGGAUUAUAUAACUGGUUACAGUAUUUCAGCUGGUGGUAAUUUUUGCCUUCCCCCUCCCCCACCCCGUUGUUGGGGUUGUUCAGCCGAAACUGAGAGACGUUGAUUUGUGUACUGAGUAGUUUCAGCAGUUUCAAAUGACUGAGUAUUGCUGAAGUUUCAUGGCAGGUUAUUUUUACCUUUAUUGAAAGUUUUAGGAAUUUUUGACUUCAGCUCUUUCGUGUUACAAUGGGACACUUUUUCUAAAUGAAAAUAUUGAAAGAAUACCGAAUUUUUUUCCUUUUAUCUUUUAUUUACGUAGAAAUUUAAGAUGUUGCAGUUUCCCGGCAGCAUGGUAGUGUUGAGAUAGCUAUGUGUGUCUCUGUAUAUGCUGAUAUUUAGGAAUGCUCUUCAGAUGUGAAAUUUUCUUUUUGUUUUUGCUUUUUGGCUCGUAAAUUGGAUAUUUCAUCUGGAGUGGACAAGUACAACAGUGGCAAGUACAUGGAAUAAUAAAGAAGACUUUGAUCUUAAAUCUAAAGAACUU
This 1093-nucleotide long non-coding RNA is filed under the name Theropithecus gelada (gelada). RNAcentral describes it as "lncRNA (ENSTGEG00000014353.1)". The record is from RNAcentral. Lineage: Eukaryota; Metazoa; Chordata; Mammalia; Primates; Cercopithecidae.